GACAGAGGGUGCAAACGUUGCUCGGAAUCACUGGGCGUAAAGGGCGUGUAGGCGGGAAGGAAAGUCAGAUGUGAAAUCCCCAGGCUCAACCUGGGAACUGCAUUUGAAACUCCCUUUCUUGAGUACCGGAGAGGAAAGUGGAAUUCCUGGUGUAGAGGUGAAAUUCGUAGAUAUCAGGAGGAACACCAGUGGCGAAGGCGGCUUUCUGGACGGUAACUGACGCUGAGACGCGAAAGCGUGGGGAGCAAUCAGG
This 253-nucleotide ribosomal RNA is filed under the name uncultured bacterium. Its description in RNAcentral is "partial 16S ribosomal RNA". It matches the Rfam family "Bacterial small subunit ribosomal RNA", at positions 524 to 776 of the family's 1533-position model. The record is from RNAcentral.